GGCUUCAUGGUGGAAUAGGUAGACACGUGACACUUAAAAUGUUAUGGGCAUUGUGCCUGUGCAGGUUCGAGUCCUGUUGAAGCUA
This 85-nucleotide transfer RNA is filed under the name Myoviridae sp. ctNQV2. RNAcentral describes it as "tRNA-Leu". It matches the Rfam family "tRNA". From Rfam's summary of the family: Transfer RNA (tRNA) molecules are approximately 80 nucleotides in length. The record is from RNAcentral. Lineage: Duplodnaviria; Heunggongvirae; Uroviricota; Caudoviricetes.